Molecule: ribosomal RNA, 48 nt
Filed under: Puccinia graminis
Lineage: Eukaryota; Fungi; Basidiomycota; Pucciniomycetes; Pucciniales; Pucciniaceae
Description: partial 28S ribosomal RNA
Source: RNAcentral
AAGACCUCAAAUCAGGUGGGACUACCCGCUGAACUUAAGCAUAUCAAU